Molecule: long non-coding RNA, 315 nt
Filed under: Linum usitatissimum (flax)
Lineage: Eukaryota; Viridiplantae; Streptophyta; Magnoliopsida; Malpighiales; Linaceae
Description: long non-coding RNA (LUSI_LNC001053)
Source: RNAcentral
CGUAAGUAACCUCCACGUCACCUGAUAAGUGAUACUGAUACCCCAUAACGUCAUAUUUAAAGCAGAGAGGAAAAAAAAGUUAAAUUAAAUAAACGCCGAGUUCGCCCCCGUACUAACUCCGUCGACUAACCCCGCCGCGCCGCCGCCGCCGAACGGUGGUGGUUCACUUAGUAUUCGAUAUAAUCCAAAUAAAGUCUCCGCCGCACAUCAACACUCUUUUUCACAUUUCCCAAGAAUCUCCGCCAAUUUCACCUGAGAGAUCCUUUCUCCCGAAAUGGACCCAGCACUGCCGGAAUCCACGGAGGCGCCGCCACG